Molecule: long non-coding RNA, 872 nt
Filed under: Vigna radiata
Lineage: Eukaryota; Viridiplantae; Streptophyta; Magnoliopsida; Fabales; Fabaceae
Description: long non-coding RNA (VRAD_LNC011719)
Source: RNAcentral
AAGUUGUGGAAACAUCAUCUGGAGCAUUAGGAUAUGGCGUGACACAUUCAAAGGCUCAACAUUUAGUCAUUUAGAUUCUAAUUAAAGUUGUAAUUUCGUUUUCUAGAAGUCCUUAAUUAGAAUUAGGUGUUUUGGACCCUUUUAAGGGCAAUUUUGUAAAAACAUCCAUGUGUAGGACAUGUGGCUUUUAGCUAGGGUUUCAUUAGAAGGUGGUCCCCACCAUUUUUAGAGUCUUGGAUGAUCUUUAGAGGGGAGAAUGCCGAGACACACUCUUGGGCUCCCAUAGCCACACUUCAUACUUCAUGUUUUUAAACUUUUCUCUCCUAGGGUUUCAUGGAUGAACAUGCCUUAAGGGAGCUUGCUUGGUAUUUCGGUUUUGGGCCAUUUGAAUGAAAAAAGUUGCAGAUUUUCUUUGUCUCUUAACUUACUCUUGGUUGUCUUAGCUUGUUGGUGGUGAAAAACCAUUCAUUUCUACUUCUAUUUGCUUGUUUUUUAUGCUUGGAGCUUGAGUUUUGGAGCUUGUCUUUGCAUUUCCAUGGUGGAUGUUGAGUUUGAGUAACUUUAUAUUUCGUUUUCCUCUCCCUUUGCUGCUAUUCCUCACGUUUUUCUUUGCAUUUUAUUGGGUUGGAUGAUAAAAAUGGAGUUCCAUGUGAGUUUUGGGUUGAAAAGAGCUUAACUUGAUGUGUGGGUGUUGUGGUUUGGGCUCUUUCUUCUUGUUUUUCGGUUUGGAUGUUUGAAGCAAGGAUGGAACCUGAUUUUGGGGUUGUUAUUGUGGCUGGAAAGAGAUGGAAUUGAUAGCUUGGUGUUCAUUUUCGUUUUUGAAAAGAAACUUGAAGAAAUGGUAGUGUUAAAGUUGGGUUGAUGAGUAGAAG